UUUCCGUAGGUGAACCUGCGGAAGGAUCAUUAAUAAAUGGUCUACUUUUUUAAGUAGACGCUAAUAAUCCUACCUUUGUGAAUUUGUUGUUUUGAAAUAAUUUUUUAAAAUUAUUGAUUGUCUUUCCUGUUGAAUUGGUGUCUUAAUGGCAAAUGAUUCGCAGGGAGUGUCAGUAAUUUUUAAAAAGACCUUUUUAAAAUUAACUUUUUGUAUUCAUUUGUCUAAAAUUAUUUUUAUAAUAUAAAACAACUUUUGACAAUGGAUCUCUUGGUUCUCGCACGAUGAAGAACGCAGCAAAAUGCGAUAAGUAGUGUGAAUUGCAGAAUACGUGAUCAUCGAAUCUUCGAACGCAUAUUGCACUUUUUUAGUUUACUAAAAAGUAUGUCUGUUUGAGUAUCAGUAAAUAUUCUCAUAAAAACUUUUGUUUUAUGGUUAUGAGUGUUUUACAACGAUACAAGUUGUUUCACUUUAAAUUUUUUUAAAAUUUGAAUUUUUCUAAUUUUAAAAUAAAAUUGGAUAAAUUUUCCGUAAAAAGGAAUAACCUAACAAUUUAAUUUUGAUUAGAAUUCUUCAAUUAUAAGGAAAAUUUAACUAAAUAACUUGAUCUCAAAUCAGAUAAGAGUACCCGCUGAACUUAAGCAUAUCAUAAGCGGAGGAAAAGAAACUAACAAGGAUUCCCUUAGUAACGGCGAGUGAAGCGGAAGAGCUCAAAUUUGAAAUCUUCAAGGUUUUACCUUGACGAAUUGUAGUUUAAAGAAGUGUUUUCUGUUGAAGUUUUGGUAAAAGUUCUUUGGAAUAGGACAUCAUAGAGGUGAGAUCCCGUAUUUGACCAUAUUUUCAGCUGUGUGAUACACUUUCAAAGAGUCGGAUUGUUGGAAGCAGUCCAAAUGGUGGUAAAUUUCAUCUAAGCUAAAUAUUGGCGAGAGACCGAUAGCGAACAAGUACCGUGAGGGAAAGAUGAAAGAACUUUGAAAAGAGAGUUAAACAGUACGUGAAUUGUCAAAAGGAAGCGUUGACACCAGUGUUGUUUUCUCGAAAAUCAAUUAAAAAAGUUGGAUUUUGUGUUGUAUGACCUUAACACUUGCUUCACUCUUUUCUUGCUUUUUUUAAUGCACUUUCGUUUAACAAGUCACAUCAGUUUCUUUUGUGUAAAAGGGCCAUUGGAAGGUGGCUUUCUCUUCGGAGAAAGUGUUUAUAGCCUUUGAUCUCUGCAAUCGGAGAGACUGAGGUCUGCAGCGUAGAUCCUUCGGGGUUAGAUACAUUUGUGCUAAGCUACAGCUUUUCAUAGACAACUUGUUGAUAUGUUUAGUCUUGUAAUUACCGCUUAUGCUAUUU
Molecule: unclassified non-coding RNA, 1335 nt
Filed under: uncultured Neocallimastigales
Lineage: Eukaryota; Fungi; Neocallimastigomycota; Neocallimastigomycetes; Neocallimastigales
Description: partial contains small subunit ribosomal RNA, internal transcribed spacer 1, 5.8S ribosomal RNA, internal transcribed spacer 2, and large subunit ribosomal RNA
Rfam family: Eukaryotic large subunit ribosomal RNA (bases 602-1335)
Source: RNAcentral